Non-coding RNA from Oncorhynchus mykiss (rainbow trout), 11435 nucleotides. NCBI's taxonomy places the organism in Eukaryota, Metazoa, Chordata, Actinopteri, Salmoniformes, Salmonidae. The record is from RefSeq and is a predicted model, not a curated record.
CUGACACAGGGAGAAAGAAACAGAUUGAGAACGGGUUAGAGGAAUGAAAAUACAUCAAACAUAAAUAAAGCGAAAUCAAAGCAAAAGGAUAGAUUGAGAGAAAGGAGAAAGAAGAAGAGAGAAACUGUGUAAAAAGGGAGAAGGACAGGGAGAGAGAAAGAAGAUACAAAUAAAGUAGGGGGAGUUUGCAGUUGACUUGAGAGAGAGGGAAAGGGAGAAAGGGAGAGAGAGAGAGCGAGAGAGAGACCAGCCGCCGGCCCAUUUAGGAAAGAUGGCUACAGUCACUGCAAACGGAGUGCAGCAAGAGAAUGGAUUCAGCACCACGAACAGCGCCGGCAGGAUGAACGGACUCAUGAUCGGUCAGAACACCAUUCCAAUGAAGGACCACGACGCCAUCAAGCUGUUUAUCGGACAGAUUCCCAGAAACCUGGAGGAGAAAGAUCUGAAGCCCCUUUUUGAGGAAUUCGGAAAGAUAUACGAACUCACUGUGCUGAAAGACAGGUUUACUGGAAUGCAUAAAGGAUGUGCCUUUUUAACAUACUGCGCCAGAGAGUCAGCACUGAAGGCCCAGAGCGCCCUCCAUGAACAGAAGACUCUGCCAGGGAUGAACCGGCCCAUCCAGGUGAAGCCAGCCGACAGCGAAGGACGAGGAGAAGACAGGAAGCUGUUUGUGGGGAUGCUUGGGAAGCAGCAGAGCGAGGAGGACGUCCGGCGGCUCUUUGAGACCUUCGGCCAGAUCGAGGAGUGCACCGUCCUGAGAGGGCCUGAUGGGGCCAGUAAGGGCUGUGCCUUUGUCAAGUUCUCCAGCCACGCAGAAGCACAGGCGGCCAUCAACAGCCUGCACGGCGGACAGACCAUGCCAUGUGGGUAUCCCCAGGGGGCGUCCUCCAGCCUGGUGGUGAAGUUUGCCGACACGGACAAGGAGCGGACCCUGCGUAGGAUGCAUCAGAUGGCGGGCCAGCUCGGCAUCUUCAGCCCCAUGACCAUCCAGUUUGGGGCCUAUGGCGCCUACUCUCACGCUGUAAGUCUCGGCUCCACGGGGGAGGAGACGCAGAUGAUGCAACAGCAAGCAGCGCUAAUGGCGGCGACCCAGAACUCGUAUCUGAACCCCAUGGCAGCCAUCGCUGCGGCACAAAUGCAGCAAAUGGCAGCUUUCAAUGUCAACGGUCUGGUGGCUGCCCCAAUGACACCCUCCUCAGGCACCAGCACGCCGCCGGGUAUCAAUGCCACGGCCUUGCCCAGCCUAGCAGCGCCCAUGGGGGUCAACGGGUUCGCAUCCCUCCCGCCCCAGACCAACGGUCAGCCUACCAACGAGCCAAUCUACACCAAUGGGAUCCACCCCUACCCAGGUGAGACAGCCAAUGGGAUUCACCUCUACUCAGCACAGAGCCCUACAGUGACUGACCCUCUCCAGCAGGCUUACGCCGGUGUGCAGCACUACGCAGCAGCCUACCCUGCCGCAUACGCACCAAUCAGUCAAGCGUUCCCCCAGCAACCCACCAUCAUCCCCCAGCAACAGAGAGAAGGGCCGGAAGGCUGCAACCUGUUUAUUUACCAUCUGCCCCAGGAGUUUGGAGACGCAGAAUUAAUGCAAAUGUUCCUGCCUUUCGGCAACGUCAUCUCCGCCAAAGUCUUCGUGGACCGGGCGACCAAUCAAAGCAAGUGUUUUGGCUUUGUGAGCUUCGAUAACCCAUCCAGUGCCCAGGCGGCUAUCCAGGCCAUGAAUGGUUUUCAGAUAGGCAUGAAGCGGCUGAAGGUGCAGCUGAAGCGGCCAAAGGAUGCCAACCGACCUUACUGACCCCUCUGCCGUCCACAUCCAGACUGCCUGAGGAGAGGAGAAGAGCGGAGGAAUGACUUUGACGUAACACAUUGAUGAGGAACAAGUGGAGAAUGUCCUGAACAAUGAUGAGGACAGGCUCGUCAUUAUGACAUCCUCAGUGUGUCUCUAACAACAGCCGUGUGUGUGUGUGUGUGUGUGUGUGUGUGUGUGUGUGUGUGUGUGUGUGUGUGUGUGUGUGUGUGUGUGUGUGUGUGUGUGUGUGUGUGUGUGUGUGUGUGUGUGUGUGUGGAUGGGGGUAAGUCUGCCUGGGGUUGGUCUCCUGCCGUUCUAACUGCUCAGUAUGUGUGUAUUCUUCUCAUUGUUAGAGCAACACAUUGUCUGUAAGUGUGUAGUGUUCACUGUUCAUCCCAUGCACUCUCCUGUCUGUUCCAGUCCAGGUUCUUCCUGUGUGAGGUUUUACAUUGUUACUUGAUUUGUUUUGGGGGUAAAUGAAUUGAAUGUGAGACCAAUUUCACUGAAAAUCACACAAAAUAUAAUACAGCAUUUUGAAGCCAGAAAUAUGCCCUUAGAUGUAGGUGUAGAUACUUUAUAAGAGGAUAAAUCAUCUAUAAAUUAUAUUUAUAGAUUGACUGAAACUUUUGUAUUACCAACGUAAUAACCUCAAACUUAUGAUUUAAAAAGACCAUUCUUCUCCACUCUUCUACUAACUCAGUAAUUCUGCCGACAAUUUCUGGGUCUUAAAGAAUUUAUAAUUGACUAAAGGUACUCAAUGUACAUACCAACAUCAUAGCAUACAAUGCAUGGACAAAAUCCAAUUAUUUAGAGUGUGACUGUGUUAGUUUGAGAUGUAAAAUAUGCCAUUUGGCCUGGCCUUAUCUUUGUGAGUACAGUGCAGCACUCUAGUCUUUUACCCUAUAAAUGUUCUCUGACUGAAAAGCCUCUCAGAACUGCUUCAAAAAGAAAAAUAAAGGCCAUUAUUUUAGUUAUUUUUGAAGGUUCCAUUUUUAUCUCUAUAUUUCAAAUUGUAUUUGUUGAUUUGUUGACUUUUUCAUUUUGACAGUAAUAACCUCCCUUCAUUUGGUUUGUCAGCCAGAGACGUUGAGAGAGAGAGAGGCUGGAAUAAAUGGGAAAGUAAAGUCUACAUCAUAUUUACCACUUGAGAAAAAAAAUUGGAAUUCCACCACUUCUCUUCUUCUUUUGUUUUGCACCCAACCCAACCUGCCAACCUGCCAAUCAUAACAUGAGAUGGCCUCUCCAUGGUCGUUGUGUAGCCAACCAGUAGCCACCAGUCACGGGGACAUGUUCCCAGUUCCCACACCUGAUGAAGGGCCACAACACCUUAUUUCCACAAGUGCAGUAUAAAGUACAAAGACUUCUUGCUCUGCUACAUAUCAUGAAAGAAGGGUGGUCCCUUGAUUCUGCUGGAAGAAUAGCUGGAGAAGAUUGGGUGACUGAGGAGGAGAAAGAACCCGGAGAUUCUUGUUUGUUUUUUUAGCAAAUGCCUCUUUUUUUCCCUGUUUUGCUUUGGCGUCUGUGGAAGAGGAUUUUUUGCAGAGACCAACUUUUUGCUGCUGUUUUUUAGAGAAGAUGGAAAACCUUUAUAGACACAUUAUGCUCAAAGCAUGCAAACUGACACCGGUACAUAUACACACACACACACACACACACACACACACACACACACACACACACACACACACACACACACACACACACACACACACACACACACACACACACACACACACACACACACACACACACACACACACCAGCCUGCUGCCAUUUUGGUUUUCGUGCCUACACAGGUGAUGUGCUCUGUGACAGGGCGAGCUCUGAGGAAAGAAGAAGAGAAAUGGAGAAUCCAGGAGAAUUUACAUGCAUCAUUCCUUAGGAAAUAGGGACCAAAGGACUUAACGCUUUUUAAAAGAAUAUAAAUAUAUACAUAUAUAUAUAUAUAUAUAUAUAUUUAAAAAACUCUUACCUUGUAGCUGCAAGUAUUACAAUUUAACAGUAGUCAAAAUAAAUAAUUAAAUCAAUAUCCAGUGGCCUAAGUAAGAAUAAAAAGAUAAAGGAAAUAAUGUAUACAUUGAAAAAAAGACAAGGAAACGUAGUAAAGGGGCUGAUUAUUAUGUUCUGGUUGCUGUUUUGCCCCCAGUUAGUAGAUUAGAAAAUGUAGAAUACUAGAAAAGUAGAUUUGCUCUUUUUUGCUGUUGUUUUUUUUUUUUUAAGAAAAAAAUACUUGAACUUGUAAAGUAGGGGAGGGAUGAAAAAGAUAAAAUUAUUCAUUUUGUCUGUCCCGUCCCAGUGGGCUUUGGGGCAUUGGGGUCUCUCUCUUGGAUGUGACGGUCAGGCCGCUGGAUAUGUCCCUCUUCAUGGUGUGCAACUCACUCACAGCACUAUCUGACAGCUAUAAAGGAACUGUUUUUCAGAAGAGGGGGAAAAAGAAGAGAAAAGACAGAUGGACCUUCCUAGUGUCUGUGCUGGACAGGGUGCACAUAUGAGAGGCUUAUUUCCCACAAGCCUUUGUGUUCAAGCGACAAUCCACUGUAAAAACCAAGCAAAUCGGACAUGGUGUGUUCUUUUCUUUUGAGCUUUUUUAUUACACAGGGAGUGUGCUAUUAUAAAACGUAUUAAAGAAAUGCUUAAAGAAAAGCUUCUGCAAACGAGAUGGACUAAUGGACAAAAAUUAAGGCAAGCAGAGAAGAAAAUGAUUGAGUUGAUAGCUACUGAACCUGCCAAAAGAGUGGACUCAACAGUAUAACAAUGAAUUGGCUCUCAUGGUGUUUGAGUAAAAUAAAAAAAUAGACCCAUUAAAAAUAACCACUUUAUAGGCAAGAGGGAGAACGAGAGAGAGAGAGAGAGAGAGAGAGAGAGAGAGAGAGAGAGAGAGGCCAGAGAUAUUUAUGUCCGCUGAAGCCGUUCUGAAGCUCUGGUGAGAUUGAGAAACAUCGCCUCACCCCCACGGCUGCAGAACAGAUACAAGCAGAACUUGCUCUGAAAGACACACAAGAUUUAUGGAUGGCCAAACAGUGGAAGCUUUUAGAGCUCAUUUAGCUGUGUCGUAUAUAAUGUACAUGCCACUGUUAACAUGUCCCCUCCCUGACCUGCUUUUUUUUUCAAAUAUUAUAUAAUGAGCCUGUGGAAAAACCUACCUAUCCGUCUCAACCUAACCUAACACAGUCUGAAUUACAGCCAUACAACCGCCAUCAUUCAGCUCCUCCCUGCCAAUCCAUGCCUAGCAGAUCACAGCUCUGAACUCUUAACUUGCCAGGCUUUUAGUUAGUGUCUAUGAGCCGUUUAUUUUGUGGUGGAUGCAGCUGGCCCCGCUAUAUGAAAACCAGAUCAAUAUGUUUGCGUUGAGUCUCGAGGAAGGAUAAGAUUGCAAGUCAUUCACUGUCCACACUUCCUCAAGUUCUCUCAGUAGAACACCAGCUCUCCCCCAGCUCUCCCCCUCCCUCCCUCCCUCCCAACUCUCUGAGAGCUGACUGAAGGCAUACAGAGGGGGAGGCAGAGCUGGACAGGGAAGAGAAGGCGAGAGGAGAGUGGGAGAAGUCAACAGCCGAACCCUGAUCUCUGAGUCCUACUCCACACCAACAUGUCCAACCUUGUCUUUUCUUAUCCUUCAAAGUGAUGCUCCUUGGAAUUAUCCCCCGGGGGACCAAAUCCAUGCAAUCAAAAGCCACAACCCCCCCCCCCCCCCCCCCCUCAACACCACCACCUUGCCAAACACCAUGUAUCUGUGCUGCCUAGCUCUUUGGGAAUGGGAUUGAAGGGUUGAUAAGGAAUCACUUGGCAUGUAUUAGGUACCUGCUGCCUUCUGUCCAGUCUGUCUCUGUUUACCUCUGGGACUUGCUCUCCAAAGCAGAGCGGACGCAUUCCAAGUCACUGACUGAAAGCCCUGCCUGCCUGCAUCACACAAGACACAUCUACAGUACAAUGACUUUCGUUGUCUUUCUCCCAGCUGCUUAAAGACAAUACCAUGCCACUCUUUUCUGUGAGCGAAAAGAUCUUGGAUUUGUCUUGAUUUGUAUCCUUGCUUUCACCAUACCACACUACUGUAAUGAAUGUUAGCUUCUGACUUUGUGUUUGUGUUCCUCUGCUAUAAAUAGACACUGUUCUGUUCCAUCAUGCCUUCCAGAACCCCAACCUAGCUGUUCAUAGCCUGGUUCAACCAGACUGAACUCUGCACUCAAAAAUGGGGGGUUCAGUCUGGUUUUACCAGGCUAUGCUGUUCAGCUGUUUCCCUGGAACAAUGUUUCAGACCAACUUGCAGUUCAGUGUUUGGCUUCAGUCGCCUUCGAUGAUCUCUUCCUCCGUAUUAGACAUGCUAUUUCACCUUUCCCUCUAAUCACGUUGUAAUAGUGAGGCUCUAUACAUUAACACCAACCAAGUGAAAAGUCAUCUGCAUAAUCACCUGGACCAAAUUACAGUGGGGAUGGUCCCUUGAAUGCUCUGUGAUGACAGAAGGUAGAUUAGAGAGAAUUAUGUUUGUAGCGGCUCCCUGGCAAGGAUGCCGACAGCUGACCUGGCACCGAUAUCACCGCAGCCGUAUUUAUGAUGGAGAUGGGAUCCAGGAAGAUGGAUAAAACCCUCCAUAUCAUAGCUACUCUGGCUAUUAAUGUUGGAUAUUUGAUUGGCGUGGGUAUAGAUUAUGUUGAAAAUUAGGCAAAAUAGACUAGGUUUGAAAUAUUUCUCCAGGUAUAAAAGCUACUGAACAAUAGCAGGUUGAAAUGGGUAGCAGACAACCAACUAGUUCGUUGAAAAACCCUUAGUUCCUCCGUUGCAGCUGCCUGCCGGGUGGCCCAUGUUAUUGUACAUCAGCUUUCAGCACAUAAUUGUCUCAACAAUCGCCUCAGAAGCCGCCAUUGUCCACAAAACAACCUGCUCUAAACAUUUUGCAUUUGUCACGGCAGUAUUACAGUCGGGACACCUGCAAAGCACAGAAUAUUGUUCAGAACUGGAGGAACAAUAUUGGUGAAGCACAGUAGUUAUUUUGAAUCAAAAUGACGCCCGUUGAAAAAAACAGUGCCAGCUUUGGUCGUGUGUUGUCUCAGCUUGCCUUCAAAAACACAGUAAAAACACUCAGCCUUUAGUUGUUAUGAAGUCAGCAGAACAUGUAGGAACUAGGAAGCAACAAGAGUUAAUGUGAAGUAGGUCAAUAUCAAUGCAUGUUCUUCACAGCAGCCAUGUUGUGCUCCUUAUUUACGUAAUGCUGAAUUAAUCAAUAGGAAACCUAAUGUUCCGUGAGCGAUGAAAUCUCCUAUGCUUGUCUCUCUGCCGCUUCAAAAGCAACUCCUGCAAGACUAGUCCCAUUAGCCUCCCCACGAGCCCUCUGAUGGCUCCUACACCAGAUAUAUGCUGCACACCCCUACAGUCAACUUAGAGCAGGGUUAGGUUCAGCCUAGGUCCAAUCCCCUGCCCAGUCUUAUAUUCCCUGCUUGGCUAACGUGCUACGCUCGUAUAGCCUUUCUGCUGCACCAGGGAGCUGCAGAAACGUGCUUGGGAAGGCUAGAUUAGACCAUGUUAAAUCAGGGAGCUGUUAGAACCAGGGUCCUCUUAUUGCUCUUCCACACAGGGGAGGAAGGUUAUUAGUGUGACAUGCAGUGAAAACAGAAAUAGCUGUAGCGAAGCCAGGCUCUGGAACAAAGAAAAUGAGAAGUGGGUUUUAUUCCUUCUCUUACUGACUCCAGAAGUCUGCCAGCUCAGCCCAUCUCAGCCCAUCUCAGCCCAGCUCAGCCCAUCUCAGCCCAUCUCAGCCCAUCUCAGCCCAGCUCAGCCCAUCUCAGCCCAUCUCAGCCCAGCUCAGCCCAUCUCAGCCCAUCUUAGCGCAGCUCUGGCCCUGUCUGGCCUUUAGUCAAGAAUGUUAACUUAGGAGUGACUCGCCUUACGCAGGACUGAAAGCCACCCACUCAUGUUAAGAUGAGAAUAUUUAGAUUGACAUUAUAGGUUAUUGCUAUUGUUAGUUCGACUCACUUUAUGAGUCUGUUUGGAAAUACAGUAACAGUCAAAAGUUCGGAUACACCUUUCUUUAUUUUUACUAUAUGUGUUAAUUCAUAGUUUAUAUCUUCACUAUUAUUCUACAAUGUAGAAAAUAGUAAAAAUAAAGAAAAACCCUUGAAUGAGUAGGUGUGUCCAAACUUUUGACUGGUACUGUAUGUAAAAUAUAAUAUAACAAAAACAUAUUUAUGGUCAUGUGGUCACUGUAAUGCCUGACCUUCUCAUGUAACAUUAGCACCUGUGAGGCAGUUAUUCACAUUUCUUAACCUCUGGUUAUUCUGCCUCCUCUACUGGCUCUAGAUAUAAUGCCUUCCUAGUUUGCAUUCCAUAAAGUCUGUCCUCAUGAGGAGUUAGAAACCUCAGAGCUCCGAGGCUGACAGAGGGGAAGGAUAACCAGUCCUAAGAGCUGAAGAGGUUGACUAAGAGGCUAAGAGGCUAGAUAACCAAUCAUCUGAGCUCUGAAGCUGGCGGAUGGGUUGAAUAACCAAUCCUAGUGGGCGAAGAGAGAUCUGCCUAGCAUGUCUAGCAGACCCCAGCCCCUGGGUGUAGAGAACACUCACCCUAAAAUAGCAGUGAUUGUCAAGGAAAGGAAGUGAAAUGUAAUUGACUGAAAGUGGAGAGAUAAUUAAAGGAACCUGUUGGACAGGAGGGAGAAAUUAAUGGCUCUCAUUUAAUAGCUGCUUUGGGAGAAAAGGAGAGCUUUUCCGUCAUCUCGCUUAGCUAACGCAAAAAGGGAUUUUCGCUGUGGAAAUGGGAUUUUUGCUAAGAGGGGAAGUGAAGUGGGUUUUGGGGGGGCCUGGAUGCUAAACUGAAACUCCACAAAGUCACCUCAAUACUCAGGGCAUCAGGCACUAUGAUGUCAUGAUUAGUGGAAACUUUCAGAGCCUUGCCUUCCCAUGGGCCCUGCCUGCCUUGUCUGGCUGGGGAGGAAUAAGAGCUGCGUAUUCACCCAGAGGCACUGAGAGUAUGGUGGGAGCUGGAGGAGCAUGUUGGACCUCUGCCAGGGCAGCUGGAGGAGCCAGAGACACGAUCACACUGUCAGUCAGUCAGUCAGGGGGAGUGUUGUCUGUCAUUGAAACAUUAAUGCCUUGGAUCCAUCAGGUCAACGUGCAAUUUUAAAAGACACUAAAAGGAAGACCUUGAUCCUAUCAUAAACAACAUAAAGAGCAGUCAAUCACAGAAAAGUGUGGGAUCAUGUUUGACAACAAAGCUGGAGAUUCAAAUCAAAAAAUGGAGACAGAAUUUUUUAUUCCUUCAUGUAAAUAAUAUAACACAGAAACAAAUGAGUCAGGAAGUAAGAACUGUACAGUAGAGAGGUCUGUCUAUAGUAGUCGCCUGGCUGUGUGGACAUUGAUGUCACUAUAAAACGUAUCCACAGCAGUGCAGGAAAUCUUUGGAGAGGGUGGGACUUUUUAACACUUUGGCCUUUUUGGUUACUGAGUAAACAUGAAUGAAUAUGCACUAUACCCUCAGCUGAACACCACCCAACAUAACAGGGAGAGGAUAGCAGAGAUCUGAUUCUAGAUGAUUUAGUAGGGCUUCAAUUCCAGCCUGGAGCAAUCCAUUAAUUAGGUUUACACUGACACAUCAUGAUAUUUCUGACAGUUGAAAGAUUGCCUGUGCACUAGCUAAUUGGAUUAGUCCAAUUGGAGCUGAUUAGACGGAUAGAUGUGACCUCAAAUACGUGACGAGAAGGCCUGCCCCUCAGUCUGCUCCGUGCCGUGCAGAGGAGCAGGUGAUAGUGACAGCAGCCAUUAGUUCGCAAGUUGCUAGCUAGCUUGCCACCGGGGCGGCGUCCGCCAGUCACCGCUAUAAUCCACAGCUCCACGGGUAUGGGCGGAAGAGGGUGAGGGUUUGCCAGAUUGGAGCUGAAAACACAUUUCCAUAUGAUCCAAACACAGAACACAGGUGUAUGAUGAGAAAGAGAGAGGAUUGGGCCAGGUGAGCCGGAUGCACUGCUACUAGAAUGAAUGACUACCCUGCAGAUCUCCCUGCCUCUGUGGCCUGCCCCUGCCUCUGCUCUCUCCACGGCCAGAGUACACAGCUGCCUGCGAUACUCCUGUACAUAUUACAUAGCUUAUUUUUUAAUUCUGUUAAGGCUUCUUUAUAGACGACCGUACAAUAAAUCAUGUUGAAAAAAAAGAAAGAAAUAGUUAAUAUAUUUCACUGACUACGAGAAGGAAACUAUGAAAUAAUUUAUCAAAAACAGUAGAGAGAAAACAUUUUUAUUUCUUGUAUAUUGAAGCGCUGAUGUUAAAAUGGAUUUUAUAUUCAUGUUGGUAAAAUGGUUCUUUUUUUACAUUCUCUUAUGUUUUCUGUUUUGUUAUCUGCUGAAGCUGGGAUGGACCCAUUGUCUCAAGGUUUAUUCUGAUAUGCUUUGAAGAUACAUGUUGAAGGGACAUUUUGCUACACAAUCCCCAUAUGGAAUUACAUGUAAAUGGGCAAGUUUAAAGAUAUGUUGUUGACAGAAAGCUCUUACAUUCAGUACAGGAAUGAAGAAACUGGACUGAUAAAAGGUCAUGUGGAUUCAUAAAGAUGACAACAUUUGUUGUCAGAUUAGUUUUGAAAAAUAAGCUGUCAUUUAACAUGACCAUUGUCUUUCAGCCAUACAUUUCUCUUUUGUUUGAUUAUUUCUUUCAUCUUGAAUUCAUUUUAUGUCUUGAAAAAGAAUCAGUGACAUCUCUUUUAUUUUCAUCUUGUCUGCAUGCGGGAAUUUUCUCUCAGAGAUCAUUUCUGAAGAGCUAUUUCAACAUUACUGGUCCAUCUUGUAUAUAUAAUAACUGUGGUUGACUCCAACACCACUGAAGAAAAUGUGCCAAUAACAGAUUGAACGUUCCACUACACUGUUUUGGUCAAGUCAGGUCAACCCUGUGGCCUUGACACCAAACUGAUCAAAAGAGGGAAGUCUGCCUUAAAACACAUUCAUUCUCUCUGACGGUACUACCUUCAAAAACGUAGCACAUACAUUGUAUUCUGGGGAUGCCAAUGCUAGUUCUUUUCCAUUGUUCAUAAACAUGCUCUGGUUUUUCCUUGCAGAGAUGAGAUUCUGUUUAAUUGAAAUGCAGCUGUCAGUUGUAAAGAUUGCCUUGUGUCAGUUUUGCCUCAAUCCCACUUCUGACACCAAUAAGGACGGGAUCAUACAGUAUAGUUACAUUUCCAUCGGUUACAUGGACCAAAUUUUAUCACAUGAAACCAAUAGAGCAGAGUUUCCCUAACAAAACAUGAAAUGAGAGCCUUUGUGCAACCAUUCAGAUAUAAAGGAAAGUGAAAAUCAUCCACUGUACUUUGCUUCAUGAGACAUUACAUUCCCAGCUUCUCUCUCGCAUUUCAUCCACUUGAUUUUACUUCUGUCAGACAAAUAAAACAUGUCAUUUUAUGUCAUUUAUCAUAAUUUAUUUUAGGCACUUAUUAGUUCAUUUAUUUAUAAUAUUUUAGUUGAAUGAUAUAAUUGUACAUCUUUCUCAUUUUUACUUGAACAAAAUCAGUUUAUUAUCUUUAUUUUCUCAAAACAGAACUGUAAUUUGACUUAGUGUUGGCACGGGUCUGUUUUUCCCUAAUUCGGGGUGGUUCCUCCCAUAGUGCUCCUGAACUGUAGUUCUCUAGUUCAUUAUAUUCUGCUUAGACUAAAAUAAAGCACAGUCCUGUAGAAGAUUGA